AAUUAAAAUAAUAAUAGCAUAAAUAUAAAAAUAAAAUAAUAAUAGCAUAAAUAUAUAAAUAAAAUAAUAAUAAUAGCGUAAACAUAAACAUAAAAAUAAAAAAAAUAAUAGCAUAAAUAUUGAAAAAAAAAAAAAAAAAAAACUCAAAUUACUUUAUUUAGACUAAUAAUGCGUUGUUAUACAAGUGUAACAUGACUAAACAUAAAAUGGUUCGAACACAAACUUAUGCAGUUAAAUUUAUAAUUUAUUAACUUUGUCUUAAUUUUACCAAUAUUUUUCCUUUUGCUCUUUUACUGCUGAUAAUGCUUUUAUAGGAGAUGUGAAUGCAAAAUAUGAACAUAAAAAAAAAAUAUUGAAUAAAUUGGAAAAUAUAUACAAACAAAUAAAUGAAAAAACAGAAACUAUUGAUAAGAAUAGAGAUGCUCUUUAUGUUGAUUUAUUAUACUAUCGCAUAAAAUAUGAUUAUGAUCUAUUUUAUACUAAUGCAAAUAGUAAAGAACAUCACAAUAAAAAAAAAAAUUGUAACUUAAAGAGGAAAAAAAUAACCCAAUACAAAGGGUAUAUUAUUAUUAAUUUUUUUUUUUCACUUAAACAGUAUGUAUUAUUUGUAUUAAAAAUGAAAAAAAAAAUUAUAUUAAAUGAUAUAAUUUAUUACUAUGACAGCAUUUUAUAUAGUAUAAAAUAUAGUAAUGUUCAAAAACAAAACAUUUCAUCAUAUAAUAUAAAUAAAAAUGACAAUAAUAAAGCAUAUUAUAUAAAUAUUGCAAAAGACCAAAUAACAGGUCAUAACAAUGAUAUAUCAAAACAAAAAGAAGAAAAAAAAAAAAAUUUGAAAAAGAAAAACAAAAAAGAAAAAAUAGAGAAAAUAGAAAAAAUAGAGAAUAUAGAAAAAAUAGAGAAAAUAGAAAAAAUAGAGAAAAUAGAAAAAAUAGAGAAAAUAGAAAAAAAUAGUAACAAAAAUGAAACUGGUGGAAACAGUACCAAAUUAGAAUUAAUGAAAACUACAGAUGAAAAUCAUAAAGGAAAACAUACAAAUGAUUAUGUUAAGGGAAAAACAGGUGAAAAAAAACGUUCGAGUAAUAAGAAGAAUUCAGGAAAAAUAAAUAAUAAUGCCACUAUCUCUAAUUGUAGUCAUAGUAAUAAUAAUAUUACUGUAGAAGGACAAAAGGACUAUAUACAAAAUAAAAAAGAUAACUUAAUUAAAGACAAUAAUAUUUUAUUUUUUUCAAAUUUUAUAAGUCAAACUGACAAAUUGAUUUAUAUGAAAAAAAAAAAAAUAAAUAAAACAAAUGAGGAAACAGCCAUUGAUUUACAUCUUCACAUAGAUAGAAACAAUAAAAAAAUCAUUGGUAAAUUAUUUACACUAAUCUAUAAUCGUGAUAAAAACAUCACCAAUAAGGAAACCAGGAAUAUGAACAACCAUUGUGAACUUUCUUAUUUAAAGGAUAAUAUUGAUUAUGAAACAAAUAACACAGUGGACAAAAUAUAUAAUAAAAAUGAAUAUAACCAAGAGGAAGAAGUACAUGUAAUCAUAAAAAAAAAAAUAAAAAUAAAAAUUAUAAGAAAUGAAAAGAAAAAUACUACACCUAAUAAUUCUCCUAAACAUUCACCUAAUUCUUAUUCUUACUUUUCUGCACUGAUAAAAAAAAAUAAAUAUAUAAUUAAUUGUAAAAUUGUAAGCUUUGAUAGAUUUAUUAAAAAACAUAUCCUAUGUAAUAACGAUUCAAAUAUAAUGACAAAAAAAAAAUAUCUUAAUAAAAAUAACUCUCAAACAUAUUUAGACUUAUAUUUAAUUAGACAAUUAUUUCAAUAUGAUCAAAAUAUUAUGAAUAUAAAAAAUUUUAUAAAAGGUUAUAAUAAAAAUUUAAAAUGUCCUAAGUUUUAUUUAUUUCAAAAAAAUGUUUAUAAAUCAAUCAUUAAAAUCAUUUCAAAGUUUAUUCGUUUAAUUGAUGGAAAAAAUAAGAGUCUUACCCAAAAAAUAAAACCAUGUAAUUGUGUACAAGGGCCUGCC
This is a long non-coding RNA of Piliocolobus tephrosceles (Ugandan red Colobus), 2011 nucleotides long. NCBI's taxonomy places the organism in Eukaryota, Metazoa, Chordata, Mammalia, Primates, Cercopithecidae. The record is from Ensembl.